RNAcentral lists this long non-coding RNA (147 nucleotides) under Aedes aegypti (yellow fever mosquito). Its description in RNAcentral is "lncRNA AAEL028791". It matches the Rfam family "Sphinx conserved region 2". Lineage: Eukaryota; Metazoa; Arthropoda; Insecta; Diptera; Culicidae. The record is from RNAcentral.
CCGCUGGAGCCGUGAGCCGUGCCUUUUGGAGAUGGCAAGACAAGUACUGGCAACCCAAGCGGAUGGGAAUUGCCCCGUUCUUCCAGGUCAUCGUCGGCGGAAUGGUGUCAUCAACUACGGCAAACUGAAGCACCACAGGAACUACAA